CCUGUGAAAUCUGGCUUUGUGCAAGCUCCUGGCAAACAAUUUUUGUGAAAACUGGAUUCUCGAGAAUGUCAUUAAACUCUGCAGUAAUUUUGGGAGCUGUACUUUUGUGAUCCUUUCUAACAAUUCGAAUAACCAAAUAUAUAAAUGAA
Octopus sinensis (East Asian common octopus) is the source of this 149-nucleotide long non-coding RNA. RefSeq lists it as uncharacterized. The record is from RefSeq and is a predicted model, not a curated record. The transcript is spliced from 4 exons. Lineage: Eukaryota; Metazoa; Mollusca; Cephalopoda; Octopoda; Octopodidae.